CAUAUCAAUAAGCGGAGGAAAAGAAACCAACAGGGAUUGCCUCAGUAACGGCGAGUGAAGCGGCAAAAGCUCAAGUUUGAAACCCUCGGGAUUGUAAUUUGAAGAUUUGGCAUUGGAGAAAGCUAACCCAAGUUACUUGGAAUAGUACGUCAUAGAGGGUGACAACCCCGUCUGGCUAACCGUUCUCCAUGUAUUGCCUUAUCAAAGAGUCGAGUUGUUUGGGAAUGCAGCUCAAAGUGGGUGGUAAACUCCAUCUAAAGCUAAAUACUGGUGAGAGACCGAUAGCGAACAAGUACUGUGAAGGAAAGGUGAAAAGAACUUUGAAAAGAGAGUGAAAUAGUAUGUGAAAUUGUUGAUAGGGAAGGAAAUGAGCGGAGAGUGGUUGAGGUUUCAGCCUCCCUUUGGGGUGGUGUAUUGCCGACGCCGAGUCAUUGUCCGCGAGACGAGAAAAACAAACGGGUUGCAUUCAUGCUUCUCACCUUUUUCUCCCACUGCAGUCAACGACAUAAUCCGCCCAUUUCACCCGUCUUGAAACACGGACCAAGGAGUCUAAUGGAUAUGUGAGUGUUAGGGUGCUAAACCCCAGCGCGCAAUGAAAGUGAAUGAUUCGUUCAGAAUCGACCGAACUUGAUUUUUAUGACAGUUUUGAGUAAACACAUCCAUUGGGACCCGAAAGAUGGUGAACUAUGCCUGAAUAGGGUGAAGUCAGAGGAAACUCUGAUGGAGGCUCGUAGCGGUUCUGACGUGCAAAUCGAUCGUAGAAUUUGGGUAUAGGGGCGAAAGACUAAUCGAACCAUCUAGUAGCUGGUUCCUGC
Molecule: ribosomal RNA, 815 nt
Filed under: uncultured Yarrowia
Lineage: Eukaryota; Fungi; Ascomycota; Dipodascomycetes; Dipodascales; Dipodascaceae
Description: LSU rRNA
Rfam family: Eukaryotic large subunit ribosomal RNA
Source: RNAcentral